AGAGUUUGAUCCUGGCUCAGAACGAACGCUGGCGGCGUGGAUAGGACAUGCAAGUCGAGCGCUCAUUAUCGGGUAGCAAUAUUCGGUAGUGGGAGCGGCGCAAGGGUGCGUAACACGUGGGCAAUCUGCCGUGAAGUUGGGGAUAACUCGCUGAAAGGCGAGCUAAUACCGAAUGUGAUUAUCAGGAGGCAUCUUUUGGUAAUCAAAGCUGGGGACCGAAAGGCCUGGCGCUUUACGAUGAGCCCGCGGCCUAUCAGCUAGUUGGUGAGGUAACGGCUCACCAAGGCUAAGACGGGUAGCUGGUCUGAGAGGACGACCAGCCACACUGGAACUGAGACACGGUCCAGACACCUACGGGUGGCAGCAGUCGAGAAUUUUUCACAAUGGGCGCAAGCCUGAUGGAGCGACGCCGCGUGGGGGAUGAAGGUCUUCGGAUUGUAAACCCCUGUCAUGCGCGAACAAACCUUUUGACCUAACACGUUGAGAGCUGAUUGUAGCGCAAGAGGAAGGGACGGCUAACUCUGUGCCAGCAGCCGCGGUAAUACAGAGGUCCCGAGCGUUGUUCGGAUUCACUGGGCGUAAAGGGUGCGUAGGCGGUCGGGUAAGUCUGAUGUGAAAGCUCGCAGCUCAACUGCGAAAUGGCAUUGGAUACUAUUCGGCUAGAGGCUUGGAGGGGGGACUGGAAUUCUCGGUGUAGCAGUGAAAUGCGUAGAUAUCGAGAGGAACACCGGUGGCGAAGGCGAGUCCCUGGACAAGACCUGACGCUGAGGCACGAAAGCUAGGGGAGCAAACAGGAUUAGAUACCCU
Molecule: ribosomal RNA, 807 nt
Filed under: uncultured Planctomycetota bacterium
Lineage: Bacteria; Pseudomonadati; Planctomycetota
Description: bacterial SSU rRNA
Rfam family: Bacterial small subunit ribosomal RNA
Source: RNAcentral